GUUUAUGACUAACUGAGGCCUGA
This 23-nucleotide microRNA is filed under the name Callithrix jacchus (white-tufted-ear marmoset). Its description in RNAcentral is "cja-miR-9952a". The record is from miRBase by way of RNAcentral. Lineage: Eukaryota; Metazoa; Chordata; Mammalia; Primates; Cebidae.